This 158-nucleotide ribosomal RNA is filed under the name Pleurocybella porrigens. RNAcentral describes it as "5.8S ribosomal RNA". It matches the Rfam family "5.8S ribosomal RNA". From Rfam's summary of the family: 5.8S ribosomal RNA (5.8S rRNA) is a component of the large subunit of the eukaryotic ribosome. It is transcribed by RNA polymerase I as part of the 45S precursor that also contains 18S and 28S rRNA. The record is from RNAcentral. Lineage: Eukaryota; Fungi; Basidiomycota; Agaricomycetes; Agaricales; Phyllotopsidaceae.
CAACUUUCAACAAUGGAUCUCUUGGUUCUCGCAUCGAUGAAGAACGCAGCGAAAUGCGAUAAGUAAUGUGAAUUGCAGAUUUCAGUGAAUCAUCGAAUCUUUGAACGCACCUUGCGCCCCUUGGUAUUCCGAGGGGCAUGCCUGUUUGAGUGUCAUUA